Zea mays is the source of this 123-nucleotide non-coding RNA. The record is from Rfam. NCBI's taxonomy places the organism in Eukaryota, Viridiplantae, Streptophyta, Magnoliopsida, Poales, Poaceae.
GGAUGAAGCGUCCAAAGGGAUCGCAUUGAUCCAUCAUUCCUUCCAUUUUUUCAUGCAUGGCUGGUCUUCGUCGUCUGCAAGGACUUGUCGAUGGAUCAAUGCGAUCCUUUUGGAGGCUUCCCC